AUACGUAGGGGGCUAGCGUUAUCCGGAUUUACUGGGCGUAAAGGGUGCGUAGGUGGUCUCUUAAGUCAGGAGUGAAAGGCUACGGCUUAACCGUAGUAAGCCUUUGAAACUGGGAAACUUGAGUGCAGGAGAGGAGAGUGGAAUUCCUAGUGUAGCGGUGAAAUGCGUAGAGAUUAGGAAGAACACCAGUGGCGAAGGCGCUUCUCUGGACUGUAACUGACGCUGAGGCUCGAAAGCGUGGGGAGC
RNAcentral lists this ribosomal RNA (246 nucleotides) under uncultured bacterium. RNAcentral's name for it is "partial 16S ribosomal RNA". It matches the Rfam family "Bacterial small subunit ribosomal RNA", at positions 523 to 769 of the family's 1533-position model. The record is from RNAcentral.